AAUCCAUGGUGAGGACACCUACGUAGUAGGUCCUUGCAUCUCUUCCACGCAUCGUAAAGAGUUUCUAAGUCCAUCUGUGCAAAUGAAGAGAUAUCAUUAUGUAAUU
Molecule: small nucleolar RNA, 106 nt
Filed under: Gossypium hirsutum (cotton)
Lineage: Eukaryota; Viridiplantae; Streptophyta; Magnoliopsida; Malvales; Malvaceae
Description: Plant small nucleolar RNA R71
Rfam family: Plant small nucleolar RNA R71
About the family: R71 is a member of the C/D box family of snoRNAs containing the C (UGAUGA) and D (CUGA) box motifs. Multiple nearly identical copies of this snoRNA have been identified in Arabidopsis, and it is thought to function as a 2'-O-ribose methylation guide for 18S ribosomal RNA.
Source: Rfam by way of RNAcentral